ACACGACUACAUUAGAUACCCCUGUAGUCCUAGCCGUAAACGAUACUCGCUAGGUGUCGGCCACGGUGCGACCGUUGUCGGUGCCGUAGGGAAGCCGUGAAGCGAGCCACCUGGGAAGUACGGCCGCAAGGCUAGAAACUUAAAGGAAUUGGCGGGGGAGCACAACAACGGGUGGAGCUUGCGGUUUAAUUGGAUUCAACGCCGGAAAUCUUACCGGGACCGACAGCAACAUGAAGGCCAAGCUGAAGACUUUGCCGGAUUAGCUG
This 266-nucleotide ribosomal RNA is filed under the name uncultured archaeon. RNAcentral's name for it is "partial 16S ribosomal RNA". It matches the Rfam family "Archaeal small subunit ribosomal RNA", at positions 717 to 982 of the family's 1478-position model. The record is from RNAcentral.